AUGGCGAUCUAGCAGGACGCAGCUGCAGGAGCUCCUUGCUUUCAUCUGAUAAGAGGCCAGUUAUACUAAGCAAAGUCAACUUGAGAGCAAGUGGUCACUGGCAGUUCACUUUCCUAUCUCAAAAGCUAGAGCCUAUCUUCUUCUGAACAAGUGAAGAGGUUGUGCAUGUCAGUGAGGAGAGCUGAACCCUUUCCCUCAUAUCACCUGCUUUAUCUCUGAAGUACUCCAGAAAUGAGCCAAGCUGGGGAGAAAAGAGCUGAGCUUCAAGUGACAGAGCAUUGCAAAGGACAAUAGUUGCCAUGGGACUGCAGAAGAAAGGAGAAAGGACACUCUAGCUCUGUUCAUCUACCAAAGGAAGAAGAGCCAUCAACUGCUAUUCAAGCAAGAACACCAGCAAGGAAAGAUCAGCAUGGUCUGAACUGGAUAUAAAUGUCCUCUUAUAGCUCAUUGCUUUGUUCUAGCCUUGAAGAACUAACCUCCCUCCUUUACCUUUUCCCACCCCUGCUUCCUCAUGUGUCUUGUCUUUUUCAUUUGUGAGCCUGAUAGCAGGGCUUCUCUCUCUCUCUCCUCUCUUUUAUUGAUGUGAGCCAGUUUGGGAGGCAAUAUGCAGGGCCACCAUCAGCUUUUCUGAGAAUCCAGUCUUUUCUCUCCAUCGCCUGGCAGCAGCCAUUACAUCAGACUGUGGCAGAGGAGAAAAGAAAGGCACAGCUGAGAGACCAGGAACUUUUGACACCUCCUUUCUUUGAUGUUUUCCAUCCCAGGUGGUCUUAGAAGAACUUGUAACUAAGAACUUGUACCUGCAUUUGCGUAUUUUCUUUUGUGUCAUUUUUUUUUUAGAUUAUAAGCCUGAGGUCUGGGACUGUCUUCUUGUUAGUGAUCUAUAAGCCACCCUGGGAGCUUCUUUUGGCAGAAAAGUGGGACUUAAAAUGCUUUAAUUAAUUAAUUAAUUAAUUAGCUGCUAUUGGACAUCUAGGCCUAGUUUAAGACAUAAAGACAUAGAGUGAUAUCUAAGUGAAGUUAUUCUCAGAGGAGACCCAUUGAAAUUAAUAGACUUAAGUUAUUUAAAUCUAUUGAUUUUAAGAGGUCUGAGUAUGACUAAUAUUGGGUAUCACUCAUAGUAUAAUUACAAAAGGUUCUUAAUCUGCAGUGUUAAACUAGGUUCACAGUUUGCAUGCUGGAAAACGUACCAGUGAGUUAAACACUGGUUGAACUGUCAGCCUUGCCCCUCCCCCAAUUCUUCAUGUAGUCUAUCCAUUUUUCUUUUCAAGUAGCACAUGCAUUUAUUUGUUUGUGUAUUCAUUCUGUGUGCAUGUGUGUGUGUGUGUAAAAACAGAAAAAUUAAAAACAAUUGCAAAUUUGCUGUAGGGAUUGUGGAAAAGGUGUGUUGGUGACAUCACAGGUACUACCCACACAGCAUCUCCACAGCCAUCUUGGUUUAAACUGAACCAGAUUUGCAGAACACGCCUUCAGAGAUUAUCCCAGUAAAGAAAGGGAUACCUCAGUACUGAACUCGGUGAGAUCAUUUCCAAACUAGCUCUAAUGCUCACAAAAUGUUAUACCUCUCUCCAACCUUUAUGGGCCAGCAAACAAAAAUGCACACCCUUCCCCUACACAUAUUAUACUGCAGAAAAUGUUUGUACAUUUGUUUGUACAAAUGUUUGCAAAUUUUGCAUGAUGCUCA
This is a long non-coding RNA of Rhineura floridana, 1681 nucleotides long. RefSeq lists it as uncharacterized. NCBI's taxonomy places the organism in Eukaryota, Metazoa, Chordata, Lepidosauria, Squamata, Rhineuridae. The transcript has 5 exons. The record is from RefSeq and is a predicted model, not a curated record.